GACGAACGCUGGCGGCGCGCCUAACACAUGCAAGUCGAACGAGCGAGAGAGAGCUUGCUUUCUCAAGCGAGUGGCGAACGGGUGAGUAACGCGUGGAUAACCUGCCUCAUACAGGGGGAUAACAGUUAGAAAUGACUGCUAAUACCGCAUAAGCCCACAGCACCGCAUGGUGCAGCGGGAAAAGGAGCAAUUCGCUUCAGGAUGGCCUCGCGUCCAAUUAGGUAGAUGGUGAGGUAACGGCCCACCAUGCCGACGAUUGGUAGCCGGACUGAGAGGUUGAACGGCCACAUUGGGACUGAGACACGGCCCAG
RNAcentral lists this ribosomal RNA (311 nucleotides) under uncultured bacterium. Its description in RNAcentral is "bacterial SSU rRNA". It matches the Rfam family "Bacterial small subunit ribosomal RNA", at positions 28 to 334 of the family's 1533-position model. The record is from RNAcentral.